GACGUAGGGCGCGAGCGUUGUCCGGAAUUACUGGGCGUAAAGAGCUCGUAGGUGGUUUGUCGCGUUGUUCGUGAAAACCUGAGGCUUAACCUUGGGCGUGCGGGCGAUACGGGCAGACUGGAGUACUGCAGGGGAGACUGGAAUUCCUGGUGUAGCGGUGGAAUGCGCAGAUAUCAGGAGGAACACCGGUGGCGAAGGCGGGUCUCUGGGCAGUAACUGACGCUGAGGAGCGAAAGCGUGGGGAGCGAACAGG
RNAcentral lists this ribosomal RNA (253 nucleotides) under uncultured bacterium. RNAcentral's name for it is "partial 16S ribosomal RNA". It matches the Rfam family "Bacterial small subunit ribosomal RNA", at positions 524 to 776 of the family's 1533-position model. The record is from RNAcentral.